Molecule: ribosomal RNA, 446 nt
Filed under: uncultured bacterium
Lineage: Bacteria
Description: partial 16S ribosomal RNA
Rfam family: Bacterial small subunit ribosomal RNA
Source: RNAcentral
GUAGGGAAUAUUGGACAAUGGGGGGAACCCUGAUCCAGCCAUGCCGCGUGGAGGAAGACUGCCCUCUGGGUUGUAAACUCCUUUUAUAUGGGAAGAACCGUCCUCAUUAAUGAGUGACCUGACGGUACCAUAGGAAUAAGCACCGGCUAACUCCGUGCCAGCAGCCGCGGUAAUACGGAGGGUGCAAGCGUUAUCCGGAUUCACUGGGUUUAAAGGGUGCGUAGGCGGAUAAAUAAUUCAGUGGUGAAAUCAACGGGCUCAACCUGUUAACUGCCAUUGAUACUGUGUAUCUUGAAUAUGAGAGAGGUAGGCGGAAUGUUGCAUGUAGCGGUUAAAUGCUUAGAUAUGCUACGGAACACCGAUUGCGAAGGCAGCUUACUAUUUCGUAAUUGACGCUGAGGCACGAAAGCGUGGGUAGCGAACAGGAUUAGAAACCCGGGUAGUCC